RNAcentral lists this ribosomal RNA (2901 nucleotides) under Escherichia coli DEC4F. RNAcentral describes it as "bacterial LSU rRNA". It matches the Rfam family "Bacterial large subunit ribosomal RNA". The record is from RNAcentral. Lineage: Bacteria; Pseudomonadati; Pseudomonadota; Gammaproteobacteria; Enterobacterales; Enterobacteriaceae.
UUAAGCGACUAAGCGUACACGGUGGAUGCCCUGGCAGUCAGAGGCGAUGAAGGACGUGCUAAUCUGCGAUAAGCGUCGGUAAGGUGAUAUGAACCGUUAUAACCGGCGAUUUCCGAAUGGGGAAACCCAGUGUGAUUCGUCACACUAUCAUUAACUGAAUCCAUAGGUUAAUGAGGCGAACCGGGGGAACUGAAACAUCUAAGUACCCCGAGGAAAAGAAAUCAACCGAGAUUCCCCCAGUAGCGGCGAGCGAACGGGGAGGAGCCCAGAGCCUGAAUCAGUGUGUGUGUUAGUGGAAGCGUCUGGAAAGGCGCGCGAUACAGGGUGACAGCCCCGUACACAAAAAUGCACAUACUGUGAGCUCGAUGAGUAGGGCGGGACACGUGGUAUCCUGUCUGAAUAUGGGGGGACCAUCCUCCAAGGCUAAAUACUCCUGACUGACCGAUAGUGAACCAGUACCGUGAGGGAAAGGCGAAAAGAACCCCGGCGAGGGGAGUGAAAAAGAACCUGAAACCGUGUACGUACAAGCAGUGGGAGCCUCUUUUAUGGGGUGACUGCGUACCUUUUGUAUAAUGGGUCAGCGACUUAUAUUCUGUAGCAAGGUUAACCGAAUAGGGGAGCCGAAGGGAAACCGAGUCUUAACCGGGCGUUAAGUUGCAGGGUAUAGACCCGAAACCGGUUGAUCUAGCCAUGGGCAGGUUGAAGGUUGGGUAACUACUAACUGGAGGACCGAACCGACUAAUGUUGAAAAAUUAGCGGAUGACUUGUGGCUGGGGGUGAAAGGCCAAUCAAACCGGGAGAUAGCUGGUUCUCCCCGAAAGCUAUUUAGGUAGCGCCUCGUGAAUUCAUCUCCGGGGGUAGAGCACUGUUUCGGCAAGGGGGUCAUCCCGACUUACCAACCCGAUGCAAACUGCGAAUACCGGAGAAUGUUAUCACGGGAGACACACGGCGGGUGCUAACGUCCGUCGUGAAGAGGGAAACAACCCAGACCGCCAGCUAAGGUCCCAAAGUCAUGGUUAAGUGGGAAACGAUGUGGGAAGGCCCAGACAGCCAGGAUGUUGGCUUAGAAGCAGCCAUCAUUUAAAGAAAGCGUAAUAGCUCACUGGUCGAGUCGGCCUGCGCGGAAGAUGUAACGGGGGCUAAACCAUGCACCGAAGCUGCGGCAGCGACACUGUGUGUUGUUGGGUAGGGGAGCGUUCUGUAAGCCUGUGAAGGUGUGCUGUGAGGCAUGCUGGAGGUAUCAGAAGUGCGAAUGCUGACAUAAGUAACGAUAAAGCGGGUGAAAAGCCCGCUCGCCGGAAGACCAAGGGUUCCUGUCCAACGUUAAUCGGGGCAGGGUGAGUCGACCCCUAAGGCGAGGCCGAAAGGCGUAGUCGAUGGGAAACAGGUUAAUAUUCCUGUACUUGGUGUUACUGCGAAGGGGGGACGGAGAAGGCUAUGUUGGCCGGGCGACGGUUGUCCCGGUUUAAGCGUGUAGGCUGGUUUUCCAGGCAAAUCCGGAAAAUCAAGGCUGAGGCGUGAUGACGAGGCACUACGGUGCUGAAGCAACAAAUGCCCUGCUUCCAGGAAAAGCCUCUAAGCAUCAGGUAACAUCAAAUCGUACCCCAAACCGACACAGGUGGUCAGGUAGAGAAUACCAAGGCGCUUGAGAGAACUCGGGUGAAGGAACUAGGCAAAAUGGUGCCGUAACUUCGGGAGAAGGCACGCUGAUAUGUAGGUGAAGUCCCUCGCGGAUGGAGCUGAAAUCAGUCAGAUACCAGCUGGCUGCAACUGUUUAUUAAAAACACAGCACUGUGCAAACACGAAAGUGGACGUAUACGGUGUGACGCCUGCCCGGUGCCGGAAGGUUAAUUGAUGGGGUCAGCGCAAGCGAAGCUCUUGAUCGAAGCCCCGGUAAACGGCGGCCGUAACUAUAACGGUCCUAAGGUAGCGAAAUUCCUUGUCGGGUAAGUUCCGACCUGCACGAAUGGCGUAAUGAUGGCCAGGCUGUCUCCACCCGAGACUCAGUGAAAUUGAACUCGCUGUGAAGAUGCAGUGUACCCGCGGCAAGACGGAAAGACCCCGUGAACCUUUACUAUAGCUUGACACUGAACAUUGAGCCUUGAUGUGUAGGAUAGGUGGGAGGCUUUGAAGUGUGGACGCCAGUCUGCAUGGAGCCGACCUUGAAAUACCACCCUUUAAUGUUUGAUGUUCUAACGUGGACCCGUGAUCCGGGUUGCGGACAGUGUCUGGUGGGUAGUUUGACUGGGGCGGUCUCCUCCUAAAGAGUAACGGAGGAGCACGAAGGUUGGCUAAUCCUGGUCGGACAUCAGGAGGUUAGUGCAAUGGCAUAAGCCAGCUUGACUGCGAGCGUGACGGCGCGAGCAGGUGCGAAAGCAGGUCAUAGUGAUCCGGUGGUUCUGAAUGGAAGGGCCAUCGCUCAACGGAUAAAAGGUACUCCGGGGAUAACAGGCUGAUACCGCCCAAGAGUUCAUAUCGACGGCGGUGUUUGGCACCUCGAUGUCGGCUCAUCACAUCCUGGGGCUGAAGUAGGUCCCAAGGGUAUGGCUGUUCGCCAUUUAAAGUGGUACGCGAGCUGGGUUUAGAACGUCGUGAGACAGUUCGGUCCCUAUCUGCCGUGGGCGCUGGAGAACUGAGGGGGGCUGCUCCUAGUACGAGAGGACCGGAGUGGACGCAUCACUGGUGUUCGGGUUGUCAUGCCAAUGGCACUGCCCGGUAGCUAAAUGCGGAAGAGAUAAGUGCUGAAAGCAUCUAAGCACGAAACUUGCCCCGAGAUGAGUUCUCCCUGACCCUUUAAGGGUCCUGAAGGAACGUUGAAGACGACGACGUUGAUAGGCCGGGUGUGUAAGCGCAGCGAUGCGUUGAGCUAACCGGUACUAAUGAACCGUGAGGCUUAACCUU